This is a long non-coding RNA of Myotis lucifugus (little brown bat), 1515 nucleotides long. RefSeq lists it as uncharacterized. The record is from RefSeq and is a predicted model, not a curated record. NCBI's taxonomy places the organism in Eukaryota, Metazoa, Chordata, Mammalia, Chiroptera, Vespertilionidae. The transcript is spliced from 2 exons.
ACGCCCCACACUGGGGAUGGAGCCCUGACUGGGGAUCGAACCAUGACCUCCUGGUUCAUAGGUCGACACUAACCACUGAACAGCACUGGCCGGGCUUCCUGUCCCUCCUCUGAGUCUUUUUCUCCUUCUCGAAUAUUCUCUGUCUCUGCCUUUCUCGUGCCCUGUCUUGCUGGACUCUCUCUUCUCUCCUUUUUCUUCUCUUCCUCUCCCUCCUCCUCUCUCCCUCCUGCCUCGUGCCUUCUUACCACCCACGACUGAACAAACACCUGUGCGGGGAAGAGAGCUUUCAUAACUCAGCGGUGGGGCGUGCAGAGACGCCACCGGCCAGGCACCCCCCUCCACCGUGGGGAGCAUCCCCCCAGAACCCGGGCGGUGGGCCUUUCAGCAGACAGGCCUGCGGAGAGGAGACUGGGUGGGGGAGCGGGGGGAGCUGUGUGUCCGUCUGUUUGGGGAGAGAAGGACAUGAGUACACCUUCCGCCAAACAGUCCCUCCCCUGUAAGUGCUCAAAGCCCAGGAAACCCACGUGUUCUGCAGGGAGAGGAGCAUUUUGAAUGAAGGGAAAUUACCAGGAGUCACUGGGACUCACGGAGUUGUUGAAAGAGGAGGAGAGGGGGAGAAAGGGGGGAGAGGGAGAAAGGGGGGCCGGCUUUUCAACACCUGAAGUGAGCCCUCAGCAGCUCAGGCUCAGGCACUGCCUGCUCGGCUGAUGGAAUGAAGAAGCCCCGCUGAGGAAGGAGGAGGAGGAGGGAGAGGAGGGGGAGCCCAUGCAGAGGCGGCUGCCCAGGUGCAAACCCCAGACUGGGCUCCGCCCUCUUUUCACCUGGUUUCCAGAGGCCUGUUCCCACGUGCGGAGGGGAAGCGUUCAGACAAAGCUGUUGGUGGCGAGCAAAGGGCGUGUGUGGAAUUCGAAGGCAAAAGUCACUCUGAUCAAAUGUGAGCGUUCGUCAACAGCCCGGCACUGAGGUCAGCUUCUGGAGGCAGCGCAGGCGGCCGGGGAGCUGAGGUCCCAAACCCCCACAGCAAACAAGUGUCCGUCCCUCCCACGCGGCCGCUCCCUUCCGGAGCCUUCUGCGCGUCUGCGGGGAGCAGCUGUGCUCCGGCUCAGCUCCGAGGCCUCAGGACCGGCCGGGUGCUCCGUGGAGCCAACGGCGACCCUCCCUCCUCCUCAAACCCCGACCUCGAUGCCGAGGCUCAGAGAGGCCCCUUGCUCAGGGUCACCCAAGGGCAGGUGACAGAGGACAUCGAACCCAAUCGGGUGACUCCUUUCCACAGAGCCACUCUGGUCAAACCAGCACUGGGUGAUUGCAUUAUGGGUAAUUUUGUUUCUUUUUUUUUUAAUUAAAAACAUUUCCCCCUUUGGAAUGGAUUAGUUGCAUUUUAAAAAGGAAGUAACCAAUCAAAGCAUUUACCGAUGACACCGUGGAUUGUCUGGAAUUUGAUUAAAUGUAUCCGGUUUGGGGGCAGGAACACAAAUAAAAUAAAAUUGUCCAUAAAUGGAUCAUUCUUGAAAUGAG